Long non-coding RNA from Cornus florida, 636 nucleotides. RefSeq lists it as uncharacterized. The record is from RefSeq and is a predicted model, not a curated record. NCBI's taxonomy places the organism in Eukaryota, Viridiplantae, Streptophyta, Magnoliopsida, Cornales, Cornaceae. The transcript has 3 exons.
CAUUUUAGUACACUCCGCCCUUGCCUCUUGCCCUAACCCUCUGUUCUUCACCUUUUCCCGAAUCUCCUCCACCUUCACACAAACUAACAAACUAUUUGCAUCACCGUCGGCUAAUAGUUGCUGUCCUCACUCCUCAGAAUCCUUAUUUUAUCUUUUUCGUAUCCAUCUUCUAUGAGUUCUCUCUCUGACUCUGUAAUUGACCAGGAGCAAAAUUGCAUAAUAUUCUGAGGGAAACUAUCACGGAGGCUCUGAAAAUCUUAAUUGAGACUCUAAACAUCGUCGGAGGCGAAGAAGACGAACAGGUUAGGCUAUACGGCUCUCAAAGGAUGAGAACCGGCUCACCAAAAGAGGGACCUGACUCUACAAGGGGUAGAGCCAGCUCAACAUGAAGUGGAGAUGGCUCCACCAAGGGGAGAGCCUGCUCCUUUAUUUUAGGAGGCGGCUCUACCCUCAUUUCUUUAAUUUUUCGAGUUCUGGGUUUGGUUUAGACUGUGGGAGUUGUUUUAAAUGGUUCCAGUGGCUGUGAAUAAGAUUUAUAUCUGUUACAGACUUGUAAAAACCCUUGGGAAGCAUGUUGAUGUUGAUAUGUUGAAACAGGAAAUAAUAUUAGGUUAAACAAUAAACCUGUAUGUGGAA